RNAcentral lists this ribosomal RNA (253 nucleotides) under uncultured bacterium. Its description in RNAcentral is "partial 16S ribosomal RNA". It matches the Rfam family "Bacterial small subunit ribosomal RNA", at positions 524 to 776 of the family's 1533-position model. The record is from RNAcentral.
UACGUAGGUGGCAAGCGUUGUCCGGAUUUACUGGGCGUAAAGCGCACGUAGGCGGCUUUUUAAGUCAGGGGUGAAAUCCCGGGGCUCAACCCCGGAACUGCCCUUGAAACUGGAGAGCUAGAAUCUUGGAGAGGCGAGUGGAAUUCCGAGUGUAGAGGUGAAAUUCGUAGAUAUUCGGAAGAACACCAGUGGCGAAGGCGACUCGCUGGACAAGUAUUGACGCUGAGGUGCGAAAGCGUGGGGAGCAAACAGG